This 441-nucleotide ribosomal RNA is filed under the name uncultured bacterium. Its description in RNAcentral is "partial 16S ribosomal RNA". It matches the Rfam family "Bacterial small subunit ribosomal RNA", at positions 338 to 795 of the family's 1533-position model. The record is from RNAcentral.
CCUACGGGAGGCAGCAGUAGGGAAUUUUGCGCAAUGGGCGAAAGUCUGACGCAGCAACGCCGCGUGAUUGAAUAAGCUCUUCGGGUCGUAAAGAUCUGUCAGUGGGGACGAAACUUGACGGUACCCACAGAGGAAGCACCGGCUAAAUCCGUGCCAGCAGCCGCGGUAAAACGGAGGGUGCAAGCGUUGUCCGGAUUCAUUGGGCGUAAAGAGUUCGUAGGUGGCAUAUUAAGUCUGAUGUUAAAGGCAGAAGCUCAACUUCUGUGCGGCACUGGAUACUGGUAAGCUUGAGUGCAGUAGAGGUAAAGGGAAUUCCUGGUGUAGCGGUGAAAUGCGUAGAUAUCAGGAGGAACAUCAGUGGCGUAAGCGCUUUACUGGGCCGUAAUUGACACUGAGGAACGAAAGCCGGGGUAGCAAAUGGGAUUAGAUACCCUAGUAGUC